This 268-nucleotide unclassified non-coding RNA is filed under the name uncultured fungus. RNAcentral describes it as "partial contains 5.8S ribosomal RNA, internal transcribed spacer 2, and large subunit ribosomal RNA". The record is from RNAcentral. Lineage: Eukaryota; Fungi.
AACGCACAUUGCGCCUCUUGGUAUUCCUUGAGGCAUGCCUGUUCGAGCGUCGUUUAGACCAUGAGGCUUUGCCUUGCGAUGGACUUCUUUGGGGAGAUUGGAAAGAUCUCACGAAGGGUCCCAAAACGAUUGGCGUCGUCAUUUCUGCCAGUGUCACACCCACGUGUAGCACACAGGAUUACGGUUGCCCAGCUCACGACCGAUCGAGACUCACAUCUCAAUCGUAAAGGUCGACCUCGGAUCAGGCAAGACUACCCGCUGAACUUAA